GAUCCUGGCUCAGGAUGAACGCUAGCGACAGGCUUAACACAUGCAAGUCGAGGGGCAGCACGGGAGUAGCAAUACUUGGUGGCGACCGGCGCACGGGUGAGUAACGCGUAUGCAACCUACCUAUCAGAGGGGAAUAACCCGGCGAAAGUCGGACUAAUACCGCAUAAAACAGGGGCACCGCAUGGUGAUAUUUGUUAAAGAAAUUCGCUGAUAGAUGGGCAUGCGUUCCAUUAGGUAGUUGGUGAGGUAACGGCUCACCAAGCCGACGAUGGAUAGGGGAACUGAGAGGUUGGUCCCCCACACUGGUACUGAGACACGGACCAGACUCCUACGGGAGGCAGCAGUGAGGAAUAUUGGUCAAUGGGCGGGAGCCUGAACCAGCCAAGUCGCGUGAAGGAAGAAGGAUCUAUGGUUCGUAAACUUCUUUUGCAGGGGAAUAAAGUGCAGGACGUGUCCUGUUUUGUAUGUACCCUGAGAAUAAGGAUCGGCUAACUCCGUGCCAGCCGCCGC
Molecule: ribosomal RNA, 510 nt
Filed under: uncultured bacterium
Lineage: Bacteria
Description: bacterial SSU rRNA
Rfam family: Bacterial small subunit ribosomal RNA
Source: RNAcentral